UGAGUGCGAGCGGCUACGGCCGCGAAGUGGGUGAUGUCAAGCUUCCAAGAAAAGCCCUAUACCCGUUAAGGCAUGAUGGCCUGUACCCGAAACCGACACAGGUGGGGUGGUAGAGAAUACCGAGGGGCGCGAGGUAACUCUCUCUAAGGAACUCGGCAAAUGGCCCCGUAACUUCGGGAGAAGGGGUGCCACCGCAAGGUGGUCGCAGUGAAGAGGCCCAGGCGACUGUUUACCAAAAACACAGGUCUCCGCUAAGUCGCAAGACGAUGUAUGGGGGCUGACGCCUGCCCAGUGCCGGAAGGUUAAGGAAGCUGGUCAGCGCAAGCGAAGCUGGCGACUGAAGCCCCGGUGAACGGCGGCCGUAACUAUAACGGUCCUAAGGUAGCGAAAUUCCUUGUCGGGUAAGUUCCGACCCGCACGAAAGGUGUAACGAUCUGGGCGCUGUCUCGGAGAGAGGCUCGGCGAAAUAGGAUUGUCUGUGAGGAUACGGACUACCUGCACCUGGACAGAAAGACCCUAUGAAGCUUUACUAUAGCUUGGUAUUGUGCCCGGGCUCUGAAUGCGCAGGAUAGGUGGGAGGCUUUGAUCCAUGGCUUGCGGGUCAUGGUGAGCCAACGGUGAGAUACCACUCUUUCAGAGCUAGGGUUCUAACGGUCACCCGUCAUCCGGGGACCGGACAGUAUCAGGUGGGCAGUUUGACUGGGGCGGUCGCCUCCUAAAAGGUAACGGAGGCGCGCAAAGGUUUGCUCAGGCUGGUUGGAAAUCAGCCGACGAGUGCAAAAGCAGAAGCAAGCUUGACUGUGAGACCUACAAGUCGAACAGGGACGAAAGUCGGCUUUAGUGAUCCGACGGUUCUGAGUGGAAGGGCCGUCGCUCAACGGAUAAAAGUUACUCUAAGGAUAACAGGCUGAUCUCCCCCAAGAGUUCACAUCGACGGGGAGGUUUGGCACCUCGAUGUCGGCUCAUCGCAACCUGGGGCUGAAGUCGGUCCCAAGGGUUGGGCUGUUCGCCCAUUAAAGCGGUACGCGAGCUGGGUUCAGAACGUCGUGAGACAGUUCGGUCCAUAUCCGGUGCACGCGCAGGAACAUUGAGAGGAUUUCUCCCUAGUACGAGAGGACCGGGAGGAACGCACCUCUGGUGUGCCAGUUAUCGUGCCAACGGUAAACGCUGGGUAGCCAUGUGCGGAGUGGAUAACCGCUGAAAGCAUCUAAGUGGGAAGCCCACCUCAAGAUGAGUGUUCCCAUGGCAUAAGCCAGUAAGGUCACGGGAAGAACACCCGUUGAUAGGCUCUACGUGGAAGCCGGGUAACCGGUGAAGCGGAGGAGUACUAAUAGACCGAGGGCUUGACC
This 1349-nucleotide ribosomal RNA is filed under the name metagenome. RNAcentral describes it as "bacterial LSU rRNA". It matches the Rfam family "Bacterial large subunit ribosomal RNA", at positions 1564 to 2925 of the family's 2925-position model. The record is from RNAcentral.